Small nucleolar RNA from Juglans microcarpa x Juglans regia, 84 nucleotides. NCBI's taxonomy places the organism in Eukaryota, Viridiplantae, Streptophyta, Magnoliopsida, Fagales, Juglandaceae. The record is from RefSeq and is a predicted model, not a curated record.
GUGAAUGAUGAUAUAUGUACUAGGGAGUAGUUUUUUUUACUGGAUUAUUGAUGGAAAUGCAGCCUAGAAAGCUAUAUCUAACCC